Microcebus murinus (gray mouse lemur) is the source of this 4597-nucleotide non-coding RNA. NCBI's taxonomy places the organism in Eukaryota, Metazoa, Chordata, Mammalia, Primates, Cheirogaleidae. The record is from RefSeq and is a predicted model, not a curated record.
GGUAUUUUGUUACUUUUGGGCUAAAGCAUCCUAAAUUAUUCACACAGCGAUGUGUGAGCCAAUAUUAGAAGAUGUCUAAAUGGAAUUAUCUACUGCUAGAAUUCAGAAAUGGUGUGCUGUAGCUCUUACUGAUAGAGUCCAAUCCAAAAAUGAUUCAUGAUCUCCACAUAUGUAAUAAUACCUCAAGUUUUCUCAUAUGAAAUUUAUAAGUUUCAUAAUGAGGUUAUGAAUACCAAUAUCAAAAGGCAGUAACUAGACAAAAAAAAAAUCUUAGAAAAUGAGAAAAACAAAACAAUCUACUUUUGGUCCUUCUUUUUGUCUAUGAAUUGUCCACUACUCUUCCAUAUAGGAAAUUUAAACAGAUAGAGGGUGGUAUUUUAGUCUAAACUUUAUCAACAACAAAAUAAAAGCUAAGUGAGUCAAAGAAGUUAACUUUAGACUUCCAAAAGCAUCUCUUCCUGAGAUAGUAUUUUAUCAUGAAAUUGCUAUAAAUGAGUAGAAAAUCAGUAACUACAUGGGAUAGUGAAUGUGAGUGAAAGGACAACUUGAAACAAAGGUUAUAAAAUAAAACUUGAAGCAAAAGUUAUUUCCUGCUCCCUCUGAAUAAAAUACAUAUCCAAAUGAAAGAAACUUUACCAUCGCAACAUAUUUUCCUCACUGAAACUGAAGUUCUAAGCCCAAGUGUUUAUAACAACAUUGUUGCUGUGGAAAUAGUUGAUUCAACACCAUGAACUCACAGCUGAAUAAAGUAAGGUGUGGAACAGAAGUCUUAUUUAAACAGUGGCAGGACCUAUAAAACAUUAAAAAGGCAAGCUGCAUGCCGGUGAAUCAGAGCACCAUAUGUUUUAAUGUGAGGGUCACAUAUGUUUUUUUUUUCUUUCUGAUGCAUGACACAAAUAGGAUGUUUCUUUUUAAUUUAGUUCUAUUUUUGGAAGCCUAUAAUCAUCUCAACUACUCCCCCCAAUAACCUAAGGUUUGCUAUCUGCUUCUGUCCACAUACGGCAGCCUGUAUUUUAUUAAAUUGAUUGACCAGAGUUACUACAGUUCAGUCCUUGCCAGAACACUCAGACGUUAUGGCACCCACCAAGGGCACAAGUCAGGAUUUUACUUCUCCAUGUAGUCAAGUCUCUUAAUUAUGGCACACUGACUUAUUCAUCAUAGGGCGUAACUUCUGGUGUAUAGUUUCCUUUGUGUCUGCAGCUUUAUAAAUUCGAGCACAAAGUUGCCAGAGAACAUGAGUGAGAAUUCAGACCCAGUCUGAGUCAGUUAAGAGUUUCCAACAAUCCUGAAAACCCUAGAGAUAACCCAGUGUGAAACGGGGUGAACUGUCUGCACCUUCCUGAGAUGCUGGCUCCUCCUCUGCUCUCCACUUCCCACUUUUUAACUGGAGACGGCUGCACUUUUCUUUAAAUGCACACAUACUUUUACUGCUCUUUUCCUUGGGUUUUCUGAACCUUUCAAAUUAUGAUAAACGUUUUUAAGCCAGAAAUUUACUCUUUGUACAAUAAAACAUAUUCAAGUUUUUAAAAUGAGGGUGACACGUGGGACUAUUUAAAAAGCGACCUUUUCUCCUUAGGAGUGAAGUGUCUCUGUAAAUAGAAACCCAGGUCCCCUGCCCAGGGCGUGGCUGCCCUCUGCGUCUGCACAGGAGAUCGAUUCAUACCAGCAAAACCGGAAAAAUCACAACUGAAGGCAACCGUGGAAGCUGCAAGAGCCAAGAGCAGGACGUAAAGGAGUCGGGUUUUCUACUAGGAAUCUGUUUCUCCUGGAACUUUGGAGACCAGAGGAUUUUGGAGCUAAAAGAACCCUCAGGAAUCCCCUCAUCCAGUUGCUUCCUUUCGCCUAUGGAAAAACCAGAGGCAGCAAUGGCUUCUGAAGUGCUGUGUCCCAGUGUAUAAUGGGUACUGUUCUAACAGGGUGGAUUUUAAAAGGCAAGCAUAAAAAAAGGUGUGUGUAUAUGGGGGGUACAGAAUUAAUUUAUGUACAGGUCCAAAUAAAGGUACUGGAAGUCAAAAGAGUGGUAUUUUUCUGGAAAAUUAAUCUAUUAUAGCAUUUAUUAUAGAAUUAAAAAAUUACAGAAGUUAUGGCUUUUACUAUAUAGUAGUAUGUAUAUAAGUUUAGGGAAUGUAAUGCUAUACUAUACUAUUAUUUUAUAAGGCAAGGAGUAACCUUAAAGUGUAAUUAUAAAAAGAACGAUAGCAAUUGGCAUUUACAUGGACUUUUCAAGCCAUUACUUAAUCUGGUGACAAGGUUAAGACAUGGGUUGGUAAUGUUAUCGGCUGGGUUCACUAAAGGGUUGGAGAUAUUAUGGGGGCGUGGCCAAGGUCAUUGGUGAGUCAGUGGCAGUAUACACAGCUCCAGCUAGGGCACUUCACUUCCUUGGUUCUAAAUUAUGGUGCUUUUUGACUCUUUCCUCUCAGAACUGAAGAAAAAGGGACACCACCUAAAAACAAGGUAUAUAGCCAAUAAACUGUCAAGUUAAUAUAUGUAAUAUCUUAGUAUUAAGAUUUUAAAUUGUAAAGUUCUGUCUGAUAAGCUGAAAAGCAAACUAGUGGGAGAACAGCAUGCAGGAUUACACAAUAUUUAAACAAAAUUUUUGGUUUGCAUCAACACAUUAAACUGAAAUUUUUCACUAACUGUUGUUGACUUAUGUUUAAAACCAUGUAACGUUCUCAGUCUUGUAAAAUCUUUGCUAUUAUGAUAAAUAUUUUCAUAAUUUUACUUCCCUUUGUGAACACAUUAAGGUAUUUUCUACUGCUUAGUGUUUUAAGAAAUGAAGCAUUUUAGUUCUAUUUCAGUUGUUGGCCAACUACUUCAUCAACCUAGGUUAAUCUACAUACUCCACCUGAAAAAUUUUCCUUAAAAUAUGGUUUCACUGAGUUACUUUUAUGCUGAAAAGCCUUCAGGGGCCUCCUGCUGCCCACGUUAUAAGCCCUCGAGCUCAUAGUAAGUUUUUACAGUAAUGGCCUUCUGUGAAUCAUUCCUCCCAGAAUUCCCAGCCUAUGGGGUCCCCUACUACACUGACAGGUGGCUUGGCCUUGUGACUUGCUUUGGCCAAUGGGCUAACAGCAAGUAUGUCUCCCACGGGCUUGUUCUCUUAGGACAUCACUGAUAAGGUGUGAGGAUCCAGUCUGGCCUCCUUGAAGGGGAAAGACCCCAUAGGGAGAUAGUGCACCCAGCCCCCAACCCAGGUCCCAGUUGAUCGAAGCUUCAGGAGUGAGCCCCAGGGGUGCAGAGAACUGCUUGCUUUUACAGGAGAAAUAAUAAGCUAUGUUGUCCUAAACCACCAAGUUUGCUAUGCAGCAGGAGAUGACUGACAUUGCAUUCCAAUGCACAUGCUUUCUGACCCCAUCCCACCUGUUCCCCACCAGCAUCUUACCUGGGCCAGUGUGGACCCCAGGUCUUGGCUUAGUUGCAAUAGCAACUAAGCCAAGGCAGGCAGUCUCUGCCUCAGUUUUCUGCCUGAGGCAGAGACUGCCUGCAGAAGCCCAGCAUCUGUCAGCUAGCCAGCGCCUGCAGGCUUUCUGCCUGCUCUAGUCCGCACUGACCCCUACUACUCAAAUUCCCAUAACACUGGUCUAUACUUCACUCUCAGCCAUUCACAUGCUGCCCAGUGUUCUAACCUAACUGUCAACUGCACAUCUGGCAGCCUCACUAUCCUCCAAAUUCUUACCAAGGACUUUACAAAUUUAUCUGAAUUUCUCAAUGGCUUCAGCAAAGUACAACCAGAUGGCCUGCAGAAACUCCGGGAAUACUUUGUAAAGUACAGAAUACUCCCCUGGAGGUGUUAAAGUGAUAAGAGCCCUUUGGGGAGGAGCCUUGCUGGCAGGAGGGUGAGCUGUGGGCGGCUCACUGACUCACCUUGUAAAACUCUGCCUCAGAGAGGCAGCUCAUGCUAGAAAGAAAAGAAAAAGACUGCAGGUCACAGUGAUUUACUUCACAAGGACGUCUAAAGCAAUGACUUUGUGGCCUUGUGACUAAGUAAUCACUGAGGCAGUUAGCAGUGCAAGGCUCUGGCUCUCUGGAUGAAGGGGACACAGAUGUCACUGAUACUGUUGGAGGGGAGAGAGGGAAAUCCCAGACCUCUGCGCUUCCUGACACUGAAGCACAGAAAGCAUCUGGCAAGAAAGCACAGAGAUGCGGAAGAAAGUAAAUGAGCAGUUUACUUUUCCAGCGACUACAACAACAGUGCUCCUAAUCACCCAAAGUCCACGGUCUGGCCAGCACUCCCUUUCCUGGCGUGUGCUCAUGCUGAGGGUGAGGACACAAGUUUGUCUCCAAAUAUCAACAGGGAGGAACCAAAGGUAGGGUGUGGCAAAAGAGAGACAGAGAGAUAAGUAAAAGACACGAAACUUGAUCCAAAGCUGCCUUCAAAUCUGAAACUGUGGGAAACUAACUUUUCUACUUAAGUUAGUUGGCGGUCUUAGUGAGCCAAGGUAGAGGGUGAAACUGGAGUCUGAGUAUUUUGGGGGUGACACCUGCUAUACAGGGAGAAUUGUCCUGACCAUGUUAGAAUCUGGUGAUUAUUAGCAGUUUAAGUUUUUGAGGUGAUCGCUAAUGCAUUAUAACAACAUUCACUCUUUAAUAGGGAAGGAAA